CCCUUAGAUGUUCUGGGCCGCACGCGCGCUACACUGACUGGUGCAACAAGUGUCGCUCCUUGGCCGAUAGGCCUGGACAAUCUUUGAACGCCAGUCGUGAUGGGGAUAGAUUCUUGCAAUUUUUGAUCUUCAACGAGGAAUUCCUAGUAAACGCGAGUCAUCAACUCGCAUUGAUUACGUCCCUGCCCUUUGUACACACCGCCCGUCGCACCUACCGAUUGAAUGGUCCGGUGAACCCUCCGGAUCGGCCCGCGCCAACGCAAGUUGAGCAAAGGCCGAGAAGUUGGGUAAACCUUACCAUUUAGAGGAAGGUGAAGUCGUAACA
Molecule: ribosomal RNA, 325 nt
Filed under: uncultured eukaryote
Lineage: Eukaryota
Description: partial 18S ribosomal RNA
Rfam family: Eukaryotic small subunit ribosomal RNA
Source: RNAcentral